UAUUGGCGUCAUCAUCAUAACAUCGCCAAUUCCACUGCAUCAAGUAACUACCGAGAGUCACGUGUUCCAAUUCCAAAAAUGAUUCAACAUAUAAGCAGAGCUUUUAUGAACACAACAGGUCGCCUAAUGCUGACAAGACAGACGUGUAAGCAGAUUCGUAGAAUGUCGUCUGGCGCACCAGUGGAAGUCAUACCGUACGGUAAUUUGAUGUUGUUUACUGGCGCAGUACUGGGCAUUGGUAGCUGGGCUUUUGUGGCUAAACAUGGAAUUGUAUUGUGUAUGGAACCAUCACGUAACAUCAGAGCACCCGACUGGAGAGAACUCAAGUCAACACGAGAAUAAAUAACACUCCGGCCAUUGAGAGAAACUUAUACUACUCGUUAUUUGCAAUCUGAUGAACCUUAUUAAAGACGACAAUGACAACACCACUAGUGACUAGUAACUAGUAACCGCGACUAAACACAUUAUUUCAUUUACGUUAAUAGAGUAUUCUGACUGCGUUCCUCGUACCAGCAUUACAUGUACAUUGUUAUGUAAAACGGAAACUACCUCUUGUUUCUUUUUUGUGUCGCAAAAAUAUAGUUAAAUAUUAUAAAAUA
RNAcentral lists this long non-coding RNA (599 nucleotides) under Saccoglossus kowalevskii. Its description in RNAcentral is "uncharacterized LOC100373479, transcript variant X2". The record is from RNAcentral. Lineage: Eukaryota; Metazoa; Hemichordata; Enteropneusta; Harrimaniidae.